RNAcentral lists this ribosomal RNA (468 nucleotides) under uncultured bacterium. RNAcentral's name for it is "partial 16S ribosomal RNA". It matches the Rfam family "Bacterial small subunit ribosomal RNA", at positions 28 to 507 of the family's 1533-position model. The record is from RNAcentral.
GACGAACGCUGGCGGCGUGCUUAACACAUGCAAGUCGAACGGAAAGGCCCUGCUUUUGUGGGGUGCUCGAGUGGCGAACGGGUGAGUAACACGUGAGUAACCUGCCCUUGACUUUGUGAUAACUUCAGGAAACUGGGGCUAAUACCGGAUAGGAGCUCCUGCUGCAUGGUGGGGGUUGGAAAGUUUCGGCGGUUGGGGAUGGACUCGCGGCUUAUCAGCUUGUUGGUGGGGUAGUGGCUUACCAAGGCUUUGACGGGUAGCCGGCCUGGGAGGGUGACCAGCGACAAUGGGACUGAGAUACGGCCCAGACUGCAACGGGAGGCAGCAGUGGGGAAUAUUACACAAUGGGCGGAAGCCUGAUGCAGCAACGCCGCGUGCGGGAUGACGGCCUACGGGUUGUAAACCGCUGUCGCCUGUGACGAAGCGUGAGUGACGGUAAUGGGUAAAGAAGCACCGGCUAACUACGUG